AGAGAGAGACAUGCGCGCAUAUCAAUAAGCGGAGGAAAAGAAACUAACUAGGAUUCCCUCAGUAACGGCGAGUGAAGCGGGAAGAGCUCAAAUUUGAAAUCUUCAAGGUUCUACCUUGACGAAUUGUAGUUUAAAGAAGUGUUUUCUGUUGAAGUUUUGGUAAAAGUUCUUUGGAAUAGGACAUCAUAGAGGGUGAGAAUCCCGUAUUUGACCAUUUACUUUCAGCUUUGUGAUACACUUUCAAAGAGUCGGAUUGUUUGGGAAUGCAGUCCAAAAUGGGUGGUAAAUUUCAUCUAAAGCUAAAUAUUGGCGAGAGACCGAUAGCGAACAAGUACCGUGAGGGAAAGAUGAAAAGAACUUUGAAAAGAGAGUUAAACAGUACGUGAAAUUGUCAAAAGGGAAGCGUUUGACACCAGUGUUGUUUUCUCGAAAAUCAAUUAAAGAAGGCAUGAUUUAUGUAAGUUGUAUUAGACUUUAUCAGCUUAACUGCCUCUUUUCUUGAGCUUUUCUUUAAUGCACUUUUCAGUUUAACAAGUCAACAUCAAUUUCUUUUGCUGUAAAAAAGCUUGAGGAAGGUGGCUUGAGAUUCGUCUUAAGUGUUUAUAGCCUCUUGCCUAUGCAGUCGGAGAGAUUGAGGUCUGCAGCGUAGAUCCUUCGGGGCUAGAAUACAUUUGUGCUAAGUUAUAGCAUUUUAUAGACAACUUGUUGACUAUGAUUAGUCAUUGUAGCUUACUCGCUUAUGUUAUUUUACCUACGCUUAGGAUGUUGAUGUGAUACUGCGAGCA
Molecule: ribosomal RNA, 785 nt
Filed under: uncultured Neocallimastigales
Lineage: Eukaryota; Fungi; Neocallimastigomycota; Neocallimastigomycetes; Neocallimastigales
Description: partial large subunit ribosomal RNA
Rfam family: Eukaryotic large subunit ribosomal RNA
Source: RNAcentral